UCCGAGCGCCGGCGGGUGGGAGCGGAGCGAGUCACGGAGCCGCGUUGGAGCGGCAAAAUCUGUCAGUCAUGGGAAAUUACAUGAAUGAUUCUGUGGAGGCUAAACCAAGAUUGCUGAACUCAUUUUCAUGCAUGGCUAACUGCAGAAUUGAACCUCGUGCUCCAGAAGUGAAAGGUUAAAAAGGGUAUAGGAAGAAGUUAGUAAGACCUUCAUUCAGAACAAACCAGAGGAGCCAGUCUUCAGACAGUCUGUAAGGACCUGUGGUCAUGCUCCUCAAAUGACUUUCUGGAUCAAUGAGUUUAUAAAGCACAAGGAGAGACUGGAAAAAAACUUGGAAGAGAUGCUGUAGAGUCCACUAACUAGAUAAAUCACAUAACCUGACCUGAAAAUGUUUGAAGGUUGGGAGGCAGUAUGUGCUUACUCUGUUCUGAUUUUUCCUGAGUGCCCACUCCCAUGGUUAAUGUGGGAGAGGGACCUAUGAUCUGAACCGACGCAGAAGUUCAUGACACCUCGUCCUUGCACACUAAAGUCAGAAUUAAAUAAAUG
This is a long non-coding RNA of Empidonax traillii (willow flycatcher), 546 nucleotides long. RefSeq lists it as uncharacterized. The transcript has 3 exons. The record is from RefSeq and is a predicted model, not a curated record. NCBI's taxonomy places the organism in Eukaryota, Metazoa, Chordata, Aves, Passeriformes, Tyrannidae.